CUCUAUCUAAACCACAAUUCGUUUCAUCCGCCGCUCCACCUUUCUCUACAAACCCUAGAUCCUCCACCGCUCCUCCACCUUUCAUCCAUGGAACCGGUCGUCGCCAUCACCGUCUUCUCCCCUUCUCCACUCCAACAGUCGCUUCAUGAUCUAGGGUUUCACUGAGAAACCAGUCGUUUCAUGAUCUAGGGUUUUUCUGUAGAUCCGAUGCUAUCUCAACAGAUUCGACACCAGAUCCGACACCCUAUCGAUUUCUAUGGCUUCUUUCCCGGUGGCUUCAAGAUCCGACACUAUCUCAGUAGAUCCGACACCAGAUCUACUGGUUUGACUGUAGGAUCUUCCGUUUGGUUGUGGGUUCGUCAACGAUGGUGGUUGUGGGUGGAAGAUCUGGCCAGAUCUAUGGCUCUGUUCUUUAAAUUUCUUGGAGGAUCUUAAGCUCAGUUUCAUGGGUGAUUUUAAGUUCAGAAGGGAGAAGGAACUGAGACUGAAGAUGUUCUUGAUGAUGGAAUCGUGAAAAACAUACA
Molecule: long non-coding RNA, 524 nt
Organism: Helianthus annuus (common sunflower)
Lineage: Eukaryota; Viridiplantae; Streptophyta; Magnoliopsida; Asterales; Asteraceae
Exons: 4
Source: RefSeq, a predicted model, not a curated record